Molecule: unclassified non-coding RNA, 486 nt
Filed under: Hevea brasiliensis (rubber tree)
Lineage: Eukaryota; Viridiplantae; Streptophyta; Magnoliopsida; Malpighiales; Euphorbiaceae
Source: RNAcentral
AUGGCUAGAGGGAGAUUAAUGUGUAGAAGUGAAUAAAUGAUAAAUCUUCAUCACUAUCGUGUUGAGUUGUUUUAUUCUGUGAUUGAUAUGCAUUUUCAAGAACUUAAUAAUUGAUUUGAUGAAGUAAAUACAAAUUUGCUUAUAUGCAUGGCAUGUCUAGAUCCUAAGGACUCAUUUUCUGCAUUCGAUAUGAGCAAAUUGAUUCAACUCACAAUAUUUUAUCCAUGUGAAUUUUCUACAGUUGCUCUAAUUGAACUUGAAUCUCAACUUCAGAACUUUGUCUUUGAUAUGUGUAUGGAUGAUAAAUUUUCUAAAGUUAGUGGAAUUGGAGGUCUUGUUGAGAAGAUAGUUGCUACAAAAAACCAUAUUAUUUUUCCUUUGGUAUAUUUGUUAAUCAAAUUAUCAUUAAUCUUGCCAGUUGCUACAGCCACAGUGGAAAGAGCUUUUUCUGCAAUGAAUAUUAUUAAAAGUUCACUUCGUAAUAGA